This 424-nucleotide ribosomal RNA is filed under the name uncultured bacterium. Its description in RNAcentral is "partial 16S ribosomal RNA". It matches the Rfam family "Bacterial small subunit ribosomal RNA", at positions 360 to 776 of the family's 1533-position model. The record is from RNAcentral.
AAUUUUGGACAAUGGGGGAAACUCUGAUCCAGCCAUCACGCGUGUGCGGUGAAGGCCUUCGUCGUGUAAAGCACUUGUGUCAGGGAAGAAAAGGUUCUGGCUAAUACCCGGAACUGAUAACGGUACCGGAAGAAUAAGUCCCGGCGAACUACGUGCCAGCAGCCGCGGUAAUACGUAGGGUGCAAGCGUGAAUCGGAAUUACGGGGCGUAAAGCGUGCGCAGGCGGUUCGGAAAGAAGGAUGUGAAAUCGCAGGGCUCAGCCUUGGAACUGCAUUCUUAACUACCGAACUAGAGUAUGUCAGAGGGGGGUAGAAUUCCGCGUGUAGCAGUGAAAUGCGUAGAUAUGCAGAGGAAUACCGAUAGCGAAGGCAACGCCCUGGGAUAAUACUGACGCUCAUGCACGAACGCGUGGGUAGCAAACAGG